Morus notabilis is the source of this 549-nucleotide long non-coding RNA. RefSeq lists it as uncharacterized. The record is from RefSeq and is a predicted model, not a curated record. NCBI's taxonomy places the organism in Eukaryota, Viridiplantae, Streptophyta, Magnoliopsida, Rosales, Moraceae. The transcript has 3 exons.
AUGGAUAUCUCUUAGAAAUCAUUUAUCCAUGAGAUUGGCUGGGGACUUUAUUGACGCUAUCCUCGGCGAUGGAGAAGAAAGAAGUAGCCGACAGAGAAAAAAUCGCAUGCUUAGAGGGCUGGCGUGACGAGGAGUGAGCUUAGAGGAUUGAGUCUUGGUCGAUUCUCAUAAAUCUGAACUGGGCAUUGUUCUUCUUCCCUCCAAAUCUUUAGGGGAUUGUGUUUUUACGGGGAAGGAAAUGACAAAGCUUCAUUUAUGCUGGAGUCGAGGUAAUUGCAAAUCGGACACCUUAGUAAGAAAUGUGUGCUAAUAGAAGGGGUGGGCGUUUACCAUUCUUUGGGUGUGAUACCCUAAAAACGAAAAGAGUGGAGAGGCGUCGGCGCUCAAAUUCUCAAGAUUAUUGUGCAGUAGUUAUGUUAUGGUGAGGGCCCAGGAUGAUAGUCCAUCCUUAUUCAUGGUUCGAGGACUGAUUUAGUAGAGACAUUGAGAUAGAUUUUCUUGCUAUCAGUGUCUCUGAGUUAUUACGGGCGUGUUUCAAAAAACUCAAAA